ACCUCUUACCUAUCGAAGGAGAUGAUGUUGUCUUGGGAAUGGACUGGUUGUGUUCUUUGGGCCCCUUAAUGGUUGAUUUUUCUAAGUCGCAACUAUCUUUUACCCACAAUGGGUUACCCAUUACACUGCAUGGUACCACAAAUCUGCUACGCAGUCAAGCUUCCUUCACUCAUCUUUGCCAUAUGUUACACAUAGAUGCCAUUUCUUCUCUACAUCUCCUCAUUAUUGAUCCACUGCCAUCACCAUCCAGCCCUCACAGAUUAUCCAAACCCUAAGCUAUAUCCCAUCUUUUACAAACAUAUAGUUAAGUUUUCUCUUCUCCCCAUGGACUACCUCCACACAAACCCCACAAUCAUCACAUUUCCCUUAUUCCACACUCUUCCCCAGUUAACAUUAAACCCUACCGCUACCCACAUGCUCACAAGCACACGAUGACCUCCUUCAUUCACGAAAUGCUCAACGAAGGCAUUAUCCGCCUCAGCACAACCCCUUUUCUUCCCCAGUUAUCCUCAUAAAAAAGAGAGAUGACACCUGACGUUUUUGUGUGGAUUAUAGAGGCCUAAAUGCCAUUACUGUUAAAGACCGUUUUCCUAUUCCAACUAUUGAUGAAUUGUUGGAUGAAGUGACCACUGUCAAGGUUUUCACCGAACUUAACCUACAUUCAGGUUACCAUCAAAUUCGAGUUAAUCCUACAGAUUGCCACAAAACCGCUUUUAGAACCUUUGAUGGCCUUUACGAGUUCUUAGUUAUGCCUUUUGGCCUUACUAAUGCACCAUUUACCUUUCAGGCAGCCAUGGAUGAUUUACUCAGGCCCCAUCUACGACACUUUAUCCUAGUUUUUUUUAUGACAUUCUCAUUUACAGCAAAUCCAUGCAAGAACACAUUCACCACCUCACUUUGGUCCUUCAAUUAUUAGACACUCAUAAAUUCUUUGUUAAGGAAUCAAAAUGUGUGUUUGCCACAACCAGAGUCUCAUACCUAGGUCAUCUUUUGGAAGAAGGCAUAGUGGCUCCAGAUCCGGAUAAAAUAAAGGCUAUCAUACUUUGGCCUAAACCUACAUCCCUUACUACCCUACGUGCGUUUCUGGGUAUUACGGGAUUUUAUCGGAAGUUCAUCCGCAGUUAUGCCACUCUUGCCUCGCCACUCACGGAGUUACUCAAAUCAUCAACAUUUACAUGGAAUACAAAUGCAGAGGAAGCCUUUACAAAAUUGAAAAAUAUCCUAACUACAGCUCCGAUGUUGAAUCUUCUGAAUUUCGCCAUACCGUUCGUGGUAGAAAUCGACGCCUCCAACAUAGCAAUUGGAGUUGUGCUACCCUAAUAAGGUCACCCUAUUGCUUUCUUCAGCAAGAAGCUUUGCCCAAAAAUGCAAACUAGCUCAACAUAUGUCAAGGAAAUGCUAGCUAUAACAGAAGCUGUAAAAAAGUGGCGUCAUUAUCUCAUAGGUACACAUUUCACAGUAAUAACAGACCAACAAAGCUUAAAGGGGUUACUCACCAAUGCAUGCCACACACCGGAACAACAAAAGUGGGCUACCAAGCUGCUUGGAUACAGUUUUGACAUUCGAUACCGCCCAGGCCGCCAAAAUCAAGCUGUUGAUUUCUUGUCCUGGCCACCCCAAUCUCUCCUUUUUGCCAUAUCUUCCCCGAUUCCGAACAUGUUAAAGGAAUUACAGGAUUAUUACGAGACGAAAAGGGGAGAAGAAGAGGUUCACAGAUUAAUUUCAUUACCUGACACCAAUUACAGUUUUCACCACGACCUUCUAUACCAUGCUCAAAGAUUAUACGUUCCUUCCAUAGAGCACAUUCGUUCGGCCAUACUCCAUGAGUUCCAUGCUUCUCCCACCGCCAGCCACUCGGGCAUUAAGGCCACCAUGGCCAGGCUCGCGACCUCUUUUUUCUGGCCUGGUAUGUACCAUGACACCAAAAGGUAUAUCAAGGAAUGCUUACCCUGCCAACAAAACAAAUCAUUACAUCAGAAACCUUUUGGACUACUCCAACCCAUACCCAUACCAACCAAACUGUUGAAAGAACUAACUACAGAUUUCAUCACGCACCUACCUUCAUCUUUAGGGCACAUGGUCAUCUAGGUUGUUUGUGACAGACUCUCCAAAUCAGCCCACUUCAUCGCCCUUCCCACAUCCUUCACAGUCACCCAUUUAGCUUACCGCUUUCUAUUGAAAUUUGCAGGUUACAUGGAGUCCCUAAAUCCAUCAUUUCAGACCGUGAUCCAGUGUUCCAGAGCCGUUUUUGGAAGGAGUUGUUUCAUCUACAAGGCACAAAAUUAAAGUUCAGUACAACAUAUCACCCCCAAAUCGACGGUCAAACCGAAGUUAUAAAUCCCUGUUUAGAAGCUUACCUUAGGUGUUUUACCAGCGAAAACCCCCGAACAUGGUAUCGCUAUCUCUACCUUGCGGAGUUUUGGUACAACUCCUUAUACCACUCGACCAUCAAAACUACACCCUUCCAGGCUCUGUAUGGAUGUUCACCUCCUUCCAUUCCAGAUUACGUUCCAAGAACUGUCGCAUAACCAACACUGGACACCACGCUACAGGAUCGUGCACGAAUGCUGCACCAGUUAAAAGCCACGCUGAAAGCAACACAACAAAGAAUGGCGGAAUCAACAAACAGAUCAAGACGUGAUUACAAUAUUAGGGAAAAGGACUGGAUACUGCUCCGACGACAAGCUUAUCGCCAAACAUCACUCUCUUCCAAGACUCACAAUAAGCUUGGACAAAGGUACUUCGGUCCCUAUCCCGUUAAACGCCGCAUCGGUGAAGUGGCAUAUGAACUUUUCCUUCCUCCGUCAUCACAUAUCCAUCCAGUCUUCCACAUCUCCCUUCUCAAAUCUUAUCACGACCCAACCCCACUGUCGCAUUUCCAAUUCCCUCUCGAAACAGAGAACCCAACAGUACCAACCCAUGACCUCCCAACUCUCUUCCCAAACUAUACUUCACAUUCUGAGACUUCCAAUACUCCUUCUAACUCAUUACACACGAACCCAACUAAAGCACCCACAAAAUUCGCAUCUGCAGACACGUGGAAACCAUCUACGAUCCACGCCCCACUUAAACUGCCACCACCCUCUUUUGCAUGUGACCCUACACUUCCCAAAGCCCCACCAACUAUAACCCACGCACCAAAACCACUCCUUUCAACAUCCCAUUCAGCAGCAGCAUCACGUGACAAUCCAAUUUCCAAUGCCAUUCCAGCUGGAAACCACUCAUCGCACCAUGCUCCGUCAAUUUCCCAGCCAGUUGUAAGCCACGCCCAUGACUCUUCCGUUGACCCAACGGUCCUAGACUCGCAUGGUACCAAGGCCACUACACCAAAUCCCAAUGCUUCCACUUCAUUCCAAUCCAAAAAAGUAAUUCCAACUAAUACCACGGACCCCAACCAAAAUCAACAAAUUGUAGCCCAUUCAACCCAUUAUACCACACAACACACAUUCCCUUUCACGACCCAAGAGACCCUAUCCAUUUUGGCAAAUCCAAGUCUCAACCUUGAGGACAAGGUUGUCUCAAAGGAAGAGGCAGUUGAUAGACAUCCCAGGCCCAUUAGAAGCAGAGAAAAACCCAUCAAAUUUAGAGAUUAUGUCUAGAAGCAAUGAGCUGUCUUUUAGUGUAAGAAGAAUAUAAUUCUGUUAUGCUUUAUGCUUUAUGUUUUAUGUUACAUGAGGUACAACUGCCCUUAUAAUGGCCUUCAUGGUUGUAAAAAGGGUAGAGAAUGAUAAUAUAGUUUUAUCCUUAUCUUAGUUAGUUCUUUCCUUAGUUUUUCUCCUUGUGUUCUGAUUCCUAAUCUUUCACAACGUAACAUUUGUGGUGAAAG
RNAcentral lists this long non-coding RNA (3826 nucleotides) under Phaseolus vulgaris (common bean). Its description in RNAcentral is "long non-coding RNA (PVUL_LNC001531)". Lineage: Eukaryota; Viridiplantae; Streptophyta; Magnoliopsida; Fabales; Fabaceae. The record is from RNAcentral.